Long non-coding RNA from Labrus mixtus (cuckoo wrasse), 720 nucleotides. RefSeq lists it as uncharacterized. The transcript has 3 exons. Lineage: Eukaryota; Metazoa; Chordata; Actinopteri; Labriformes; Labridae. The record is from RefSeq and is a predicted model, not a curated record.
AACUUUUAACCUCACCGAACUGGAUGAAUUCUCUCAUUUUGGUCCAAAAUUUGCUGUUUUUUUUUUAAUUUACACAUUUAAUUGUUUAAUGUUAUUUAUUAUUUUUUAUGGCAAUACUCUGUAUUUUGUUUUCUUUUAAUUUGUAGUGAAGUUGUGAUGCAUCCCUCAUCCUCUCGUGAUUCCAGUGUCUGCUACUGUUACUCAUUACAACUCUGCUCUAGUCUCUUAACUCUCCUGUUAACCAUAUGGCCUACAUUUCACAAGCAGCAAAGUAUUGAAAGCAUAAUUGUGCAACGUUUGGCAGAAUCUCUGUCAGUAAGCUUCAGUGAGGCCGGUCACUAUCAGACAACAGACAAGAAUAGCUGGUGACAGAAAAUGGAGGAGACGAGCUGUCUUCUCGUCACGCUGCUGGUCUUGUGCUUGCGGGACAGGAUGUGGUGAACUCAGGGUCUGACCAGGUCACAGGACCCUGCUCGACUCCAUUCUCUCUGAUAUUUGACAAGCACGACACACAAAAUAUGUUUGUGUGGGGACAUGGGCUCAAACAUGCUUUUGUUUGAGCAACGUCAUCUUUGAUCAGACAGGACCUGGUCCCCAACCCUGCCUUUACCAUACCUGUUACUCCAACAUGACUCUGGGUGUGGAGCCAGCACGAUGACAAAAGAGCCGCCGCCACCACCCAACCACUCAGUAUGGAAACUAUGUGAUCCCUCAGUGGCA